Molecule: ribosomal RNA, 506 nt
Filed under: uncultured bacterium
Lineage: Bacteria
Description: bacterial SSU rRNA
Rfam family: Bacterial small subunit ribosomal RNA
Source: RNAcentral
GCGUAGGUGGUUCGAUAAGCGAAUAGUGAAAUCUGGUGGCUCAACCAUUCAGACUAUUAUUCGAACUGUUGAACUCGAGAGCAGAAGAGGUAGCUGGAAUUUCUAGUGUAGGAGUGAAAUCCGUAGAUAUUAGAAGGAACACCGAUGGCGUAGGCAGGCUACUGGGCUGUUUCUGACACUGAGGCACGAAAGCGUGGGGAGCGAACCGGAUUAGAUACCCGGGUAGUCCACGCCGUAAACGAUGGAUACUAGCUGUUUGGGGUAUCGACCCCCUGAGUAGCGAAGCUAACGCGUUAAGUAUCCCGCCUGUGGAGUACGAUCGCAAGAUUAAAACAUAAAGGAAUUGACGGGGACCCGCACAAGCGGUGGAUCAUGUUCUUUAAUUCGAUGAUAACCGAUAAACCUUACCAGGUCUUGACAUCCUUGGAAUCUUUCAGAAAUGAGAGAGUGCUUUUUAAGAGCCAAGUGACAGGUGAUGCAUGGCCGUCGUCAGCUCGUGUCGUGAG